Molecule: long non-coding RNA, 740 nt
Organism: Pipra filicauda (Wire-tailed manakin)
Lineage: Eukaryota; Metazoa; Chordata; Aves; Passeriformes; Pipridae
Exons: 6
Source: RefSeq, a predicted model, not a curated record
GUCCUCCCCUGCAGUCUAGGAUGUUUCAUGCUGGAUUUUGCCUCUUGCUGGUGUUCUCUAUGCAACGUCGAAGCGUGGAUUAAGGCAUUCUCCCUCUCUAUUUUUCAUAAUUUAGACGAUCACAGAGAAGAGGGUUAGUGAUUGAUCUUAAACUACAAAGAAACUGUACAAUGUCAGAGCUACGGAUAAAAUAAAAAGAAUAUCUCUAUCUAGGAAAGAAAAAAAUUCUAAAGGGGCAUCUAGAAGAAAGAGGAACAGAUGACAUGUGAAGAACACAGACUAAUCCCUGAAAGAGUAUCAAGAUGGAACUGGCAGAUAUGAUGCCGGACUUAAAAGACACCUCCCCCCACUGGAGCAGCUGUUUUUUUCCACCUAACACAUAGCCAAGCAAAUUGAAUUCCCUAAAGAAUGAGCUGGUGAACCCUGAAGUGAGAUCUGCUAAUAUUAUGGCUAACAGAAGAAAAGAGAAAUAAUUCUAGACUAAAUGAUGCAGAUAUCCCUCAAAAGGAACAAAAGAAUUCUUCUGUCUUGAGAUUGUGUGAAUCACAAUAUUGAGCAAAAAAACACCCUAUGAAAGACAUGCCAAGGACUGAAGACCAUCACCUGUCCCCACCCGCAAAGAGAAAAAUAUGUCAAAUAAUGAAAUGCUUUGCUCAAACUCUUCGGUAUUAAUUUAGGACAGAAACAUCACUGACCAAUACCUGGAGAUUAUUGGUAAAUUUAGAGAGAGAUUUCUAAUC